This is a long non-coding RNA of Bactrocera neohumeralis, 550 nucleotides long. RefSeq lists it as uncharacterized. Lineage: Eukaryota; Metazoa; Arthropoda; Insecta; Diptera; Tephritidae. The transcript is spliced from 2 exons. The record is from RefSeq and is a predicted model, not a curated record.
GUGUUUGGCAGCUGUUUGUUGACGACGUGAAGUUAAAAUUGAACAACGGUUUGCUUGAAAAACAUUCAAUGAAGGUCGUGACGUCAUCGAAGAUUUCCACUUCUGCUUUAGUCGAUAGUGGUUCAUCCACUUCUGCUUUAGUCGAUAACAUCGAAAAAAUAUCGACUCCAAAAAUUUUGGUUAAUGUUUUGGGUAUGGUGUGCAUUCAAUGACAGACUGGUACGAAAAUACCUGAAUCUUUUGCGAAAACCACGUGGAGAAGAGGCUGAAGACCUUACAUUAUUCAAACACAUCGUUGCUGGUGUCGAGUCUAGUGAGUAGAGGGAAUGACGCGGCAAAAAUUAGCGCAAACCGAAAAAAAAAACAAAAUUCGUUGAAGGCCAUCUCAACCAGGACAUUAAACAAGUGUAUGGAAAAUAAUAGCAGUGUUACUCGCUCGAGAGUCUAUAUUGAAGGCGACAAUAAAGAUUUGUACCUAAAUACGGUUUUUUUGUCAGUCCAGGUGAACUUUAAUCAAAUGGUAUUAUUAAUAUAUGAUUGAUUUUUUUUA